Molecule: ribosomal RNA, 253 nt
Filed under: uncultured bacterium
Lineage: Bacteria
Description: partial 16S ribosomal RNA
Rfam family: Bacterial small subunit ribosomal RNA
Source: RNAcentral
UACAGAGGGUGCGAGCGUUAAUCGGAAUUACUGGGCGUAAAGCGUGCGUAGACGGUAGCGUAAGUCAGAUGUGAAAGCCCCGGGCUCAACCUGGGAACUGCGUUUGGGACGGGAUUGCUAGAGAUCGGGAGAGGAGAGUGGAAUUCCCAGUGUAGAGGUGAAAUUCGUAGAUAUUGGGAAGAACACCAGUGGCGAAGGCGGCUCUCUGGACCGAUACUGACGCUGAGGCGCGAAAGCGUGGGGAGCAAACAGG